GGCUCAGGAUGAACGCUGGCGGCGUGCUUAACACAUGCAAGUCGAACGAUGAAGCCCAGCUUGCUGGGUGGAUUAGUGGCGAACGGGUGAGUAACACGUGAGUAACCUGCCCUUAACUCUGGGAUAAGCCUGGGAAACUGGGUCUAAUACCGGAUAGGAGCGUCCACCGCAUGGUGGGUGUUGGAAAGAUUUAUCGGUUUUGGAUGGACUCGCGGCCUAUCAGCUUGUUGGUGAGGUAAUGGCUCACCAAGGCGACGACGGGUAGCCGGCCUGAGAGGGUGACCGGCCACACUGGGACUGAGACACGGCCAGACUCCUACGGGAGGGCAGCAGUGGGGAAUAUUGCACAAUGGGCGAAAGCCUGAUGCAGCGACGCCGCGUGAGGGAUGACGGCCUUCGGGUUGUAAACCUCUUUCAGUAGGGAAGAAGCGAAAGUGACGGUAGCCUGCAGAAGAAGCACCGGCUAACUACGUGCCAGCAGCCGCGGUAAUACGUAGGGUGCGAGCGUUAUCCGGAAUUAUUGGGCGUAAAGAGCUCGUAGGCGGUUUGUCGCGUCUGUCGUGAAAGUCCGGGGCUUAACCCCGGAUCUGCGGUGGGUACGGGCAGACUAGGAGUGCAGUAGGGGAGACUGGAAUUCCUGGGUGUAGCGGUGGAAUGCGCAGAUAUGCAGGAGGAACACCGAUGGCGAAGGCAGGUCUCUGGGCUGUAACUGACGCUGAGGAGCGAAACAUGGGGAGCGAACAGGAUUAGAUACCCUGGUAGUCCAUGCCGUAAACGUUGGGCACUAGGUGUGGGGACCAUUCCACGGUUUCCGCGCCGCAGCUAACGCAUUAAGUGCCCCGCCUGGGGAGUACGGCCGCAAGGCUAAAACUCAAAGGAAUUGACGGGGGCCCGCACAAGCGGCGGAGCAUGCGGAUUAAUUCGAUGCAAGCGCGAAGAACCUUACCAAGGCUUGACAUGUUCCCGAUCGCCGUAGAGAUACGAUUUCCCCUUUGGGGCGGGUUCACAGGUGGUGCAUGGUUGUCGUCAGCUCUGUCGUGAGAUGUUGGGUUAAGUCCCGCAACAGCGCAACCCUCGUUCCAUGUUGCCAGCACGUAAUGGUGGGGACUCAUGGGAGACUGCCGGGGUCAACUCGGAGGAAGGUGAGGACGACGUCAAAUCAUCAUGCCCCUUAUGUCUUGGGCUUCACGCAUGCUACAAUGGCCGGUACAAUGGGUUGCGAUACUGUGAGGUGGAGCUAAUCCCAAAAAGCCGGUCUCAGUUCGGAUUGGGGUCUGCAACUCGACCCAUGAAGUCGGAGUCGCUAGUAAUCGCAGAUCAGCAACGCUGCGGUGAAUACGUUCCCGGGCCUUGUACACACCGCCCGUCAAGUCACGAAAGUCGGUAACACCCGAAGCCGGUGGCCUAACCCUUGUGGGA
RNAcentral lists this ribosomal RNA (1419 nucleotides) under Micrococcus luteus. RNAcentral describes it as "bacterial SSU rRNA". It matches the Rfam family "Bacterial small subunit ribosomal RNA". Lineage: Bacteria; Bacillati; Actinomycetota; Actinomycetes; Micrococcales; Micrococcaceae. The record is from RNAcentral.